RNAcentral lists this ribosomal RNA (394 nucleotides) under uncultured bacterium. RNAcentral describes it as "bacterial SSU rRNA". It matches the Rfam family "Bacterial small subunit ribosomal RNA", at positions 29 to 416 of the family's 1533-position model. The record is from RNAcentral.
AUUGAACGCUGGCGGCGUGCCUAACACAUGCAAGUCGAGCGGUAACAGGUGUAGCAAUACAUGCUGACGAGCGGCGGACGGGUGAGUAACGCUUGGGGAAUCUGCCUAUUAGUGGGGGACAACCCGGGGGAAACUCGGGCUAAUACCGCAUACGCUCUACGGAGGAAAGCCGGGGACCGCAAGGCCUGGCGCUAAUAGAUGAGCCCAAGUCGGAUUAGCUAGUUGGUAGGGUAAUGGCCUACCAAGGCGACGAUCCGUAACUGGUCUGAGAGGACGACCAGUCACACCGGAACUGAGACACGGUCCGGACUCCUACGGGAGGCAGCAGGUGGGGGAUAGUUGGACAAGUGGGACGAAAGCCUGAUCCAGCGACGCCGCGUGGGUGAAGAAGGCC